This 576-nucleotide long non-coding RNA is filed under the name Equus caballus (horse). Its description in RNAcentral is "lncRNA (ENSECAG00000052919.1)". The record is from RNAcentral. Lineage: Eukaryota; Metazoa; Chordata; Mammalia; Perissodactyla; Equidae.
AGACAACAGGCCAACUUCUGCCCCAUAUUCCUCUCCAUUGUAGGCCCGAGGCAGGAACCAGGGCCCAGCUGCUAAGUGGGGCCCAGAGACAGUCUGGACAGGAUCCCAGGAGACACUAAGCCUCUUCAGAGAGAAAGCAGGCCUGGCCCUGGGAUCAGAGGAGCCUCCCAGGACGCUGCUCUUGCUGUUGCCACUGAGUUAAGGAAUAUUAGCCCUGAGCUAACAUCCCCUGCCAAUCCUCCUCUUUUUGCUGAAGAAGAUUGGCCCUGAGCUAGCAUCCGUGCCCAUCUUCCUCUACUUUAUAUGUGGGAUGCCUACCACAGCAUGGCUUGAUAAACGGUGCCAUGUCCACACCCGGGAUCUGAACUGAUGAACCCCGGGCUGCUGAAGCGGCACAUGUGAACUUAAUCGCUGCACCACCAGGCCAGCCCCCCCAGAGAACACUUCUUUAUCCACAGGAAACCAAUACAAAAGCGCAUUUUACCAGCAAUCUGAAGGAGCUUGGAAGAGGAAUCUCCCCAGUUGGGUCUCCAGAAGGGCAUGCAGCCUGGCUGACACUGAUGACAGCCCGUGAGA